AGGAAUAUUGGUCAAUGGGCGCAGGCCUGAACCAGCCAAGUAGCGUGAAGGAUGACUGCCCUAUGGGUUGUAAACUUCUUUUAUAAAGGAAUAAAGUCGGGUAUGUAUACCCGUUUGCAUGUACUUUAUGAAUAAGGAUCGGCUAACUCCGUGCCAGCAGCCGCGGUAAUACGGAGGAUCCGAGCGUUAUCCGGAUUUAUUGGGUUUAAAGGGAGCGUAGAUGGAUGUUUAAGUCAGUUGUGAAAGUUUGCGGCUCAACCGUAAAAUUGCAGUUGAUACUGGAUAUCUUGAGUGCAGUUGAGGCAGGCGGAAUUCGUGGUGUAGCGGUGAAAUGCUUAGAUAUCACGAAGAACUCCGAUUGCGAAGGCAGCCUGCUAAGCUGCAACUGACAUUGAGGCUCGAAAGUGUGGGUAUCAAACAGGAUUAGAUACCCUGGUAGUCCACACGGUAAACGAUGAAUACUCGCUGUUUGCGAUAUACUGCAAGCGGCCAAGUGAAAGCGUUAAGUAUUCCACCUGGGGAGUACGCCGGCAACGGUGAAACUCAAAGGAAUUGACGGGGGCCCGCACAAGCGGAGGAACAUGUGGUUUAAUUCGAUGAUACGCGAGGAACCUUACCCGGGCUUAAAUUGCAGAUGAAUUACGGUGAAAGCCGUAAGCCGCAAGGCAUCUGUGAAGGUGCUGCAUGGUUGUCGUCAGCUCGUGCCGUGAGGUGUCGGCUUAAGUGCCAUAACGAGCGCAACCCUUGUUGUCAGUUACUAACAGGUUCCGCUGAGGACUCUGACAAGACUGCCAUCGUAAGAUGUGAGGAAGGUGGGGAUGACGUCAAAUCAGCACGGCCCUUACGUCCGGGGCUACACACGUGUUACAAUGGGGGGUACAGAGGGCCGCUACCACGCGAGUGGAUGCCAAUCCCCAAAACCUCUCUCAGUUCGGACUGGAGUCUGCAACCCGACUCCACGAAGCUGGAUUCGCUAGUAAUCGCGCAUCAGCCACGGCGCGGUGAAUACGUUCCCG
RNAcentral lists this ribosomal RNA (1016 nucleotides) under uncultured bacterium. Its description in RNAcentral is "bacterial SSU rRNA". It matches the Rfam family "Bacterial small subunit ribosomal RNA", at positions 357 to 1376 of the family's 1533-position model. The record is from RNAcentral.